UGGGGAAUUUUGCACAAUGGGCGAAAGCCUGAUGCAGCAACGCCGCGUGAGUGAAGAAGGCCUUCGGGUCGUAAAGCUCUUUCGGCCGGGGAGAAGGGUGAUAUGGUAAAUAAUCAUGUCAUUUGACUGUACCGGAAGAAGAAGCACCUGCUAACUACGUGCCAGCAGCAGCGGUAAUACGUAGGGUGCAAGCGUUGUUCGGAAUUACUGGGCGUAAAGCGCGCGUAGGUGGGUUUGUGUGUCGGUUGUGAAAUCCCUAGGCUCAACCUGGGAACUGCAAUCGAAACUGCAAAUCUUGAAUGUUUGAGAGGGUGAUGGAAUUCCAGGUGUAGAAGUGAAAUUCGUAGAUAUCUGGAAGAACACCGGAGGCGAAGGCGGUCACCUGGCAAAACAUUGACGCUAAAGAGCGAAAGCGCGGGGAGCAAACAGG
RNAcentral lists this ribosomal RNA (430 nucleotides) under uncultured bacterium. RNAcentral describes it as "bacterial SSU rRNA". It matches the Rfam family "Bacterial small subunit ribosomal RNA", at positions 355 to 776 of the family's 1533-position model. The record is from RNAcentral.